Molecule: ribosomal RNA, 530 nt
Filed under: uncultured bacterium
Lineage: Bacteria
Description: bacterial SSU rRNA
Rfam family: Bacterial small subunit ribosomal RNA
Source: RNAcentral
AAUAGAUACCCCGGUAGUCCACGCCGUAAACGAUGUCGACUUGGAGGUUGUUCCCUUGAGGAGUGGGCUUCCGGGAGCUAACGCGUUAAGUCGACCGCCUGGGGAGUACGGCCGCAAGGUUAAAACUCAAAUGAAUUGACGGGGGGCCCGCACAAGCGGUGGAGCAUGUGGUUUAAUUCGAUGCAACGCGAAGAACCUUACCUACUCUUGACAUCCAGAGAACUUAGCAGAGAUGCUUUGGUGCCUUCGGGAACUCUGAGACAGGUGCUGCAUGGCUGUCGUCAGCUCGUGUUGUGAAAUGUUGGGUUAAGUCCCGCAACGAGCGCAACCCUUAUCCUUUGUUGCCAGCGGUUCGGCCGGGAACUCAAAGGAGACUGCCAGUGAUAAACUGGAGGAAGGUGGGGAUGACGUCAAGUCAUCAUGGCCCUUACGAGUAGGGCUACACACGUGCUACAAUGGCGUAUACAAAGAGAAGCGACCUCGCGAGAGCAAGCGGACCUCAUAAAGUACGUCGUAGUCCGGAUUGGAGU